CACUCCUACGGGAGGCAGCAGUGGGGAAUAUUGGACCAUGGGCGCAAGCCUGAUCCAGCCAUGCCGCGUGAGUGAUGAAGGCCCUAGGGUUGUAAAGCUCUUUCACCGGUGAAGAUAAUGACGGUAACCGGAGAAGAAGCCCCGGCUAACUUCGUGCCAGCAGCCGCGGUAAUACGAAGGGGGCUAGCGUUGUUCGGAUUUACUGGGCGUAAAGCGCACGUAGGCGGACUAUUAAGUCAGGGGUGAAAUCCCGGGGCUCAACCCCGGAACUGCCUUUGAUACUGGUAGUCUUGAGUUCGAGAGAGGUGAGUGGAAUUCCGAGUGUAGAGGUGAAAUUCGUAGAUAUUCGGAGGAACACCAGUGGCGAAGGCGGCUCACUGGCUCGAUACUGACGCUGAGGUGCGAAAGCGUGGGGAGCAAACAGGAUUAGAAACCCGAGUAGUCCCAUGA
This 450-nucleotide ribosomal RNA is filed under the name uncultured organism. RNAcentral's name for it is "partial 16S ribosomal RNA". It matches the Rfam family "Bacterial small subunit ribosomal RNA", at positions 334 to 800 of the family's 1533-position model. The record is from RNAcentral.